UGGGAAUAGCACAAUAUGCACCACUCUGGCUUUGCAUGAGCUACUCCUGUGUUUGUAAAGGCAAAGCAAAUAUAAGUGUAGCUACCCUAUGAAGGCAGGUUAAUAGUGUUUGUGAAGGAAGUAGGGAUGAAAAAAUGAAGCUAUUGAAAGAAUCAACAUGAUGGAUGGUCUUGGAGAACAGGGUAGAUGAAGAGAACCUGCCCUUAGAAGGGGAAGAUGGUAACCAGCUGCUUUCCUUCACCAGAAGGGAUGGAGAUGCUGAGGAGGCUGCUUGUGGCAAUCCCUUCUAUGGACUAAGUGGGAAGAUUAUUGGAAUCAGUAAUCCUGAAACAAGUUGAAAGACUGCAUCGACUUCUCUUGUAAGACUCCAAAAUGAAAGGGUUGAGAGUGACAUCCCUGAGGUCUCAGUAGCUGAGCUCUUUAAUGUGGGUAUCUGAAUCCAUCUUAUUUGGGUCUUAGGGCAAGUUUUGGGGUCACCCUCAGCCUGAUGUGCCCUAAUUACCACUUCUGCUUUGCCAUGUGGCAGGUUCUAUGCCAGGGAUGGAGGCUUGUUGUAUUGGGGUGCAGUUGUGGCCAUGUGCAGACCUAGCUGCCAGGGCAGCUGCACAGCUC
Molecule: long non-coding RNA, 612 nt
Filed under: Anas platyrhynchos platyrhynchos (common mallard)
Lineage: Eukaryota; Metazoa; Chordata; Aves; Anseriformes; Anatidae
Description: lncRNA (ENSAPLG00000025307.1)
Source: RNAcentral